AGUAUUAUAGAGUCUGCUAAUGCAUCUAAAUUACUGAUAUAGCGCAACAAUAUUAAUUUUCAAAGGGAAUUGUACCAAGAAAAAUAUUGGUGCGUCCUAGUGGACUCGAACCACCGACCCCCACCA
This 126-nucleotide antisense RNA is filed under the name Rheinheimera sp. SA_1. RNAcentral's name for it is "Bacterial antisense RNA HPnc0260". It matches the Rfam family "Bacterial antisense RNA HPnc0260". The record is from Rfam by way of RNAcentral. Lineage: Bacteria; Pseudomonadati; Pseudomonadota; Gammaproteobacteria; Chromatiales; Chromatiaceae.